This 52-nucleotide microRNA precursor is filed under the name Cavia aperea (Brazilian guinea pig). RNAcentral describes it as "miRNA (ENSCAPG00000005186.1)". The record is from RNAcentral. Lineage: Eukaryota; Metazoa; Chordata; Mammalia; Rodentia; Caviidae.
CCCGGGUCCUGGUCCUGGUCCUGGUCCCUUGCCCCGGCUCCAGCCCCGGCCC